AAAUAGCGAAAAUGUUUGUGUGGAGUAUAGUUUAUAUUUCUUGAAAAACUUAAUUGUGUGGCGGCCUAGCAACUAUAUAGAGGGGUAUGUUUUAUAAAUCGAGAUUACGCGUUUAUCUUAUCUAGAUUUGAAAUAAAUUCAUUUUACACACCGCCGUCGGAAGAGCAAAUUUAAAUUUUUGUUCUAUAUCCUAUAAAAGGAAUUAAGUCAGGUCAACGUGUAGAUUAUAUCUAGGUCAAAAUGUAUCUCAUUAAUAUAAUUAUGUCCUUUUAACAUUUUUAUUGAAAUAUAUUGAGGUAACUGAAUUUAUAAGUAAAAUUCUUUAAAAUGGGAAUUUGAAUUAUGCAAUGCUUGGUGUC
RNAcentral lists this ribosomal RNA (359 nucleotides) under Paraclisis diomedeae. RNAcentral's name for it is "partial 12S ribosomal RNA". Lineage: Eukaryota; Metazoa; Arthropoda; Insecta; Psocodea; Philopteridae. The record is from RNAcentral.